This 2324-nucleotide long non-coding RNA is filed under the name Marmota monax (woodchuck). The record is from RNAcentral. Lineage: Eukaryota; Metazoa; Chordata; Mammalia; Rodentia; Sciuridae.
GGCCAGGCGCAGUGAGGAAUCCGCUCCGCAGCGUACCCAGCCGCGAGAAGAGCCGCCCCGGUCACCUACUAUGUCACAGGCAGAUGAAAGCAAGCAGCAGGUGGAGCCAACAAGCGACAGCAAGCAGCCACAUCAAGCCACCCCCGAAGGCAGUCCCCGGCCAGGACCAGGACACCCUGGACACGGACCAGAACGGCCGACCUGGCGGAAGGCGGCAGGAGCCCGGAGGACACGGGGCAGGUGCUGUGGAGUUGUGCAGUCCUGGAGUCACCCGGGAAAGAAGAUGCGCUACUAGAGGAGCGUGUUUGCUAGCUCCGGGCCCACGUGGGCCCGGGUCUGGGUCCUGAAAGGCCCCCCUUCCUUUCCCUAGCCUUCCCUCCGUCCUCCCUUCUUUCCUUCCUGCUGGGUACCAAAUCAUUGUCAGACUGAGGUCUCCGCCCUGGGAAGGUAGAGUUCUUUGAAUGCGAUGUCUGGGCGCCAAGGAAGAAAGGGAAAGAAAUGUGGCGAGGUGAGCCUUUUAUAAGAUGGAUUUUAGACAAAUUAAUUUUCCAGUGUGAGCAGUGCCCAGGGAUGAUGCCAAGGCAGGGUAACGUUGCUUUCCCUCGCCAAAGCCUGGGGAUGCUGUGGUCUUGUUCAGCUUUGCUUCUGUCAAGGAAUUGAGAUCUCAGGAAGACGGUAGUGCAGAUCUGUGAACAUCUUUGAUGUAGAAUGUAUCACUUGGUGUAGACCUUGUUUUGGAUAGUGGCUCUGCUUGUAAUCCUUCCCUCUUCAUAAACUCCAUCUAAUUUCUAAGCCCACUGCUUCCUUGUAAAACUUGUUCCCAUGACUAUUACACUACCAUUUCAGAAAAUUGUUCACUGAUGAGCUCAACUGGGAUACAAGCAGAAAGUACCCCCAAAAGACUAUUUUGCCAAAUUUGGAGAGAUUGUUGACUAUUGUAAAAAUGGAUUCCAACACUAGAAAUCAAGAAGGCUGGGGCUAAAGAUGAAGCCAGGGUGGAGAAGGUAAGUUGGGUACUCCAUCAAGGGCCCUUGUAUAUGGGAUAUGAUUCUAAGGGAACAUUUCUGGAUCAUGUUUAGUUUGACUGAGCUACAUGUGGCCAAGUACAUGGAGGGGUGGGUGCAGAGUUCAAGCACUUGUUCCUGUACAGAUUAAAUGAGGGAGUGAGAGGUAUAUGGAUUGGAGUGGCCCAGGAAGGAGAUAGUUGACAUUUAGUACCUAUUUAUGUCUCUAUUUGGGGGGAAUGUGCUAAAUGCUUCACAUAUGAGGAUUAGAAAAACAUCCAAGGAUGCUAUGAGACAGACAUUGAAGUGCUGUUUACAGAGGGGAAACAGAUUCAGAGAAGAGUGUAAGUAACUAUAAGAGAUCACACAGAGAGUAUGGGGUGGAACAACCAGAAUGCCAACCCUAGUAGCCCAGAUCCAGGCAACUGUUUUAAUCUCUGCUGCUUCACUCCUGGAGGAAACAAGCCUUAGAACGGGACUUUCAUGGCAGGAAGAAGGCUCACAGUUAACAAACUCCAAGGGAGUGAGUACAGAUUUAUGUGUGUUGGAUAAACUGGAUUUCAGGCUUAGAGAAUAUUGGGAGGACAGACUUGGGUAAAGUAUGGUGUCUUUGGAAGGGAUGAAAUAUUUUAUGUACCUAUGGUAGAAUCUUGUGACUCAAAGUGAAGGUAGUAACUCCUGGGCAAUGCUCCUAAGAAAUGCCAAUGAGAAUUCGAAUGAGAGUCUGCUGGUGUUAAUGUUAGACAUGCCAAUGAGAAUUAAAAUCAGUUUCUCCUUUCUCAGAAGGACAACUGUGGUUUGUAGUUCAUAAUGGUUUUCCAUCCAUUAUUGAAUUACUCAGAGUAAUGUGAUUGAACAUAUUGUAACCAUUAAAAUUGACAGUCCAUCUUUCACUUUGCUUGUGGAUGAACUGCUGUGUUCUGAUUUUUAAGAAAUCAUUAUUGAACAUUUGACCAUGUUUUCUAAGAGAUCAGAUAAUGAAGAUGAAAAAAUUAUAAUAACCAACACAAGUAGGACCCCCAUCACAGAAAUAGAAGGCUAAAAAUCUGUGACAUUUUAAUAAUAGAUGGAAAGACACAUUUGACUGUAUUAGGGAGUUAAUUAACCAAAACAGAGCAUGCUGCAUGUUAUGCAGAAAAUAAUUUGGAAUCAGGCAUGGGGGAAGAAGGAGAUGUGAAAGUUCAUACCGAGAUUGAAUCUCACAAGUCAAGAAUGAGAAAGGCAAAUAUUUCUAAGCCAAUAAAAAGUACUUUUGUUUUCCAGAAAGAUAUCACAAUGUUUAAAAUUAACAGCUGCUGAAUUAGCUUGGGCAUAUCACAC